This is a long non-coding RNA of Mus musculus (house mouse), 1171 nucleotides long. RefSeq annotates it as predicted gene, 39929. NCBI's taxonomy places the organism in Eukaryota, Metazoa, Chordata, Mammalia, Rodentia, Muridae. The transcript has 2 exons. The record is from RefSeq and is a predicted model, not a curated record.
CCCACUGACUCCAUUGAAUUACCCUGUAGUGCCUAGCUUUCCUCAGGUUCCCAAGACCUUAGAUGCUCUAAGCUAGCUUUCCUCCCUCUGGACUCCAGAUGGCACUCUCAUCUUGGAGUUCCCAAUUACUUGUCCUCUACUCCAAGCAUAGUUUUUAGUAUUUUGAUAUGAUCUUUCAAGCAGUGAAGAGCUAGAUUUUGCUUUGUGAGUCAAUCAGGGUCCUUUUUAGUAAAACAUUUAUUAAUACAAAUAAUGUAACCAAACUACCAUUUAGUAGAACAACAGAACCAAAACAUAACAAUAUAUUUCAAAUAAUAGCCAGUAUAAUACUACGUUCCUCAGCCAUAUGGUAUAUGUGUAGUAUUUUUUUUUUUUUAUUUUAAGUUUCUAUUUGAUCUCCUUUCUUUGCUCUUUUGAUACUUAUCGGAUGCUUUGCACUUAGGAUGGCUUCACUUCUUCAGGCCCUCUUUCCUAUCUCUUGUCUUCCAGCCUUUUGUUUCCAGUGUUGGUGGUGCCCUCAUCCUCACCUUCUUUGCCUCUUCUCUUCCUCCUCCUGGGUCCUGAUGGCUGCUUGUUAAGUCAUUAGGGCAUGCAAGUUGCAUAUUAAGUUACUUCUGUUCCUGCUUUGAUUUCAGCCUCAUAUCUCUACACUGUAAUGCCCAGUACCUCAGGGCUUCAUCUCAGAUUUCCCCUCAAAUUCCUUCAUUGGAUAAUCUGGAAGACUGUGCAGAAAGAGCUCUGAAGACAGUUUCCGCAGGAAUGUCAGCUCGGAAAUCCCUCCAUCCUCUGAUGUGCCUCUCAGUCAGUCAGGAAAAUAUCAGCUGCCAGGAUGAAACUCUGGAUAAACAAGAAGAAAAUCCUAGUUACUGCUCCCAAGGAUCACGAAGCCUUCUGCAGGCUACACAAAGGAAGGGAAGUUGAAGGAGCUCAGUGGUCACAUGUGGGCUCUCCUGUCAGAGUGGCAGCUGUUUCUGGGGUUAAGCAGCCGCCUCCCUGCAGGAGGCCCUCAGCCCAGUAUCACAAACCCAUGCUUGCUUCUCUCAUUGGCACAGGCAUGCUGGGUGUUAAAUCUGUUAAAUGUCAUUGUUGUAAAUCCUUUAAUGUGGUAAAUGGUGAGAUUUGAUCUGUUUCUCUGUGGUUCCCAAUGUUUAAUAAAUUUUCCUCAACUUAA